GGGGAUUUAGCUCAGCCGCACAGCACCUGCCCGGCAAGUGGGAGGUCCUGAGUUUGAUUCCCAGUAUCCCCC
This 72-nucleotide transfer RNA is filed under the name Heterocephalus glaber (naked mole-rat). It matches the Rfam family "tRNA". Rfam says of the family: Transfer RNA (tRNA) molecules are approximately 80 nucleotides in length. Their secondary structure includes four short double-helical elements and three loops (D, anti-codon, and T loops). Lineage: Eukaryota; Metazoa; Chordata; Mammalia; Rodentia; Bathyergidae. The record is from Rfam by way of RNAcentral.